This 328-nucleotide ribosomal RNA is filed under the name uncultured eukaryote. RNAcentral's name for it is "partial 18S ribosomal RNA". It matches the Rfam family "Eukaryotic small subunit ribosomal RNA", at positions 1470 to 1796 of the family's 1831-position model. The record is from RNAcentral.
CCCUUAGACGUUCUGGGCCGCACGCGCGCUACACUGACGGAGCCAGCGAGUAUAAACCUUGGCCGAGAGGCCUGGGAAAUCUUGUGAAACUCCGUCGUGCUGGGGAUAGAGCAUUGUAAUUAUUGCUCUUCAACGAGGAAUUCCUAGUAAGCGCAAGUCAUCAGCUUGCGUUGAUUACGUCCCUGCCCUUUGUACACACCGCCCGUCGCUACUACCGAUUGAAUGGCUUAGUGAGGCUUCCGGAUUGGUUUAGAGAAGGGGGCAACUCCAUCUUGGAACCGAGAAGCUAGUCAAACUUGGUCAUUUAGAGGAAGUAAAAGUCGUAACA